Molecule: ribosomal RNA, 708 nt
Filed under: uncultured bacterium
Lineage: Bacteria
Description: bacterial SSU rRNA
Rfam family: Bacterial small subunit ribosomal RNA
Source: RNAcentral
CGGCAGCACAGUAAGAGCUUGCUCUUAUGGGUGGCGAGUGGCGGACGGGUGAGGAAUACAUCGGAAUCUACCUUUUCGUGGGGGAUAACGUAGGGAAACUUACGCUAAUACCGCAUACGACCUUCGGGUGAAAGCAGGGGACCUUCGGGCCUUGCGCGGAUAGAUGAGCCGAUGUCGGAUUAGCUAGUUGGCGGGGUAAAGGCCCACCAAGGCGACGAUCCGUAGCUGGUCUGAGAGGAUGAUCAGCCACACUGGAACUGAGACACGGUCCAGACUCCUACGGGAGGCAGCAGUGGGGAAUAUUGGACAAUGGGCGCAAGCCUGAUCCAGCCAUACCGCGUGGGUGAAGAAGGCCUUCGGGUUGUAAAGCCCUUUUGUUGGGAAAGAAAAGCAGUCGGCUAAUACCCGGUUGUUCUGACGGUACCCAAAGAAUAAGCACCGGCUAACUUCGUGCCAGCAGCCGCGGUAAUACGAAGGGUGCAAGCGUUACUCGGAAUUACUGGGCGUAAAGCGUGCGUAGGUGGUUGUUUAAGUCUGUUGUGAAAGCCCUGGGCUCAACCUGGGAAUUGCAGUGGAUACUGGGCGACUAGAGUGUGGUAGAGGGUAGUGGAAUUCCCGGUGUAGCAGUGAAAUGCGUAGAGAUCGGGAGGAACAUCCAUGGCGAAGGCAGCUACCUGGACCAACACUGACACUGAGGCACGAAAGCGU